RNAcentral lists this ribosomal RNA (417 nucleotides) under uncultured bacterium. RNAcentral describes it as "bacterial SSU rRNA". It matches the Rfam family "Bacterial small subunit ribosomal RNA", at positions 769 to 1186 of the family's 1533-position model. The record is from RNAcentral.
UUAACAGGAUUAGAUACCCUGGUAGUCCACGCCGUAAACGAUGUCUACUUGGAGGUUGGGACCUUGAGUUCUGGCUUUCGGAGCUAACGCGUUAAGUAGACCGCCUGGGGAGUACGGUCGCAAGAUUAAAACUCAAAUGAAUUGACGGGGGCCCGCACAAGCGGUGGAGCAUGUGGUUUAAUUCGAUGCAACGCGAAGAACCUUACCUACUCUUGACAUCCACGGAAUCCUUUAGAGAUAGAGGAGUGCCUUCGGGAACCGUGAGACAGGUGCUGCAUGGCUGUCGUCAGCUCGUGUUGUGAAAUGUUGGGUUAAGUCCCGCAACGAGCGCAACCCUUAUCCUUGUUUGCCAGCACUUCGGGUGGGAACUCCAGGGAGACUGCCGGUGAUAAACCGGAGGAAGGUGGGGAUGACGUA